Molecule: transfer RNA, 70 nt
Filed under: Gemmatimonadales bacterium
Lineage: Bacteria; Pseudomonadati; Gemmatimonadota; Gemmatimonadia; Gemmatimonadales
Description: tRNA-Ile
Rfam family: tRNA
About the family: Transfer RNA (tRNA) molecules are approximately 80 nucleotides in length.
Source: RNAcentral
GCCCAGGUCGAGGGAGGGGGUCUCAGCGGACUCAUAAUCCGUCGGUCGCAGGUUCGAAUCCUGCCGGGCC